RNAcentral lists this ribosomal RNA (398 nucleotides) under uncultured bacterium. Its description in RNAcentral is "bacterial SSU rRNA". It matches the Rfam family "Bacterial small subunit ribosomal RNA", at positions 29 to 414 of the family's 1533-position model. The record is from RNAcentral.
AGCGAACGUUAGCGGCGCGCCUAACACAUGCAAGUCGCACGAGAAAGGGAUUCGUCCCCGGUACAGUGGCGCACGGGUGAGUAACACGUGGGUAACCUUCCCAGACGUGGUGGAUAACCUGCCGAAAGGCGGGCUAAUACAGCAUAAGACCACGAGGCUACGGCCUUGAGGUUAAAGCAGGCUUCUGUUUACAAGCUUGCGCGUUUGGAUGGGUCCGCGUCCCAUCAGCUAGUUGGUGAGGUAACGGCUCACCAAGGCUACGACGGGUAGCUGGUCUGAGAGGAUGGCCAGCCACACUGGAACUGAGACACGGUCCAGACUCCUACGGGAGGCAGCAGUGGGGAAUCUUGCGCAAUGGGCGAAGGCCUGACGCAGCGACGCCGCGUGGGCGACGAAGG